Molecule: ribosomal RNA, 243 nt
Filed under: Triticum aestivum (bread wheat)
Lineage: Eukaryota; Viridiplantae; Streptophyta; Magnoliopsida; Poales; Poaceae
Description: partial small subunit ribosomal RNA
Rfam family: cspA thermoregulator
Source: RNAcentral
AUGCAGAUUACUGGUAAGGUGAAGUGGUUCAACGAAUCCAAGGGGUUCGGCUUCAUCACCCCCGACGACGGCAGCAAGGACGUCUUCGUCCACUUCACCGCAAUCGCUGGCAACGGCUUCAAGACCCUCGCCGAGGGCCAGCGUGUCGAAUUCGAAAUUCAAGACGGCCAAAAAGGCCCGUCCGCCGUCAAUGUCAAGGCCCUAGAGCUAGAGGAGGAUAAGAGCAUUUCGAGCAAAUUAUAG